This 301-nucleotide ribosomal RNA is filed under the name uncultured bacterium. Its description in RNAcentral is "partial 16S ribosomal RNA". It matches the Rfam family "Bacterial small subunit ribosomal RNA", at positions 509 to 809 of the family's 1533-position model. The record is from RNAcentral.
CAGCAGCCGCGGUAAGACAGAGGGUGCGAGCGUUAAUCGGAUUUACUGGGCGUAAAGCGUGCGUAGGCGGCUUUUUAAGUCGGAUGUGAAAUCCCUGAGCUUAACUUAGGAAUUGCAUUCGAUACUGGGAAGCUAGAGUAUGGGAGAGGAUGGUAGAAUUCCAGGUGUAGCGGUGAAAUGCGUAGAGAUCUGGAGGAAUACCGAUGGCGAAGGCAGCCAUCUGGCCUAAUACUGACGCUGAGGUACGAAAGCAUGGGGAGCAAACAGGAUUAGAUACCCCCGUAGUCCCUGUCUCUUAUAA